RNAcentral lists this ribosomal RNA (468 nucleotides) under uncultured bacterium. Its description in RNAcentral is "partial 16S ribosomal RNA". It matches the Rfam family "Bacterial small subunit ribosomal RNA", at positions 28 to 507 of the family's 1533-position model. The record is from RNAcentral.
GACGAACGCUGGCGGCGUGCUUAACACAUGCAAGUCGAACGGAAAGGCCCUGCUUUUGUGGGUUGCUCGAGUGGCGAACGGGUGAGUAACACGUGAGUAACCUGCCCUUGACUUUGGGAUAACUUCAGGAAACUGGGGCUCAUACCGGAUAGGAGCUCCUGCUGCAUGGUGGGGGUUGGAAAGUUUCGGCGGUUGUGGAUGGACUCGCGGCUUAUCAGCUUGUUGGUGGGGUAGUGGCUUACCAAGGCUUUGACGGGUAGCCGGCCUGAGAGGGUGACCGGCCACAUGGGGACUGAGAGACGGCCCAGACGCCUACGGGAGGCAGCAGUGGGGAAUAUUGCACAAUGGGCGGAAGCCUGAUGCAGCAACGCCGCGUGCGGGAUGACGGCCUUCGGGUUGUAAACCGCUGUCGCCUGUGACGAAGCGUGAGUGACGGUAAUGGGUAAAGAAGCACCGGCUAACUACGUG